This 301-nucleotide ribosomal RNA is filed under the name uncultured bacterium. RNAcentral describes it as "partial 16S ribosomal RNA". It matches the Rfam family "Bacterial small subunit ribosomal RNA", at positions 509 to 807 of the family's 1533-position model. The record is from RNAcentral.
CAGUAGCCGCGGUAAUACGUAGGGUGCAAGCGUUAAUCGGAAUUACUGGGCGUAAAGCGUGCGCAGGCGGUUCGUUAAGUCUGCUGUGAAAGCCCCGGGCUCAACCUGGGAAUGGCAAUGGAUACUGGCGAGCUAGAGUGUGUCAGAGGAUGGUGGAAUUCCCGGUGUAGCGGUGAAAUGCGUAGAGGUCGGGAGGAACAUCAGUGGCGAAGGCGGCCAUCUGGGACAACACUGACGCUGAGACACGAAAGCGUGGGGAGCAAACAGGAUUAGAUACCCCCGUAGUCCCUGUCUCUUAUAC